Molecule: ribosomal RNA, 515 nt
Filed under: uncultured bacterium
Lineage: Bacteria
Description: partial 16S ribosomal RNA
Rfam family: Bacterial small subunit ribosomal RNA
Source: RNAcentral
GAUGAACGCUGGCGGCGUGCCUAAUACAUGCAAGUCGAGCGAAUGGAUUAAGAGCUUGCUCUUAUGAAGUUAGCGGCGGACGGGUGAGUAACACGUGGGUAACCUGCCCAUAAGACUGGGAUAACUCCGGGAAACCGGGGCUAAUACCGGAUAACAUUUUGAACCGCAUGGUUCGACAUUGAAAGGCGGCUUCGGCUUGCACUUAUGGAUGGCCCCGCGUCGCAUUAGCUAGUUGGUGAGGUAACGGCUCACCAAGGCAACGAUGCGUAGCCGACCUGAGAGGGUGAUCGGCCACACUGGGACUGAGACACGGCCCAGACUCCUACGGGAGGCAGCAGUAGGGAAUCUUCCGCAAUGGACGAAAGUCUGACGGAGCAACGCCGCGUGAGUGAUGAAGGCUUUCGGGUCGUAAAACUCUGUUGUUAGGGAAGAACAAGUGCUAGUUGAAUAAGCUGGCACCUUGACGGUACCUAACCAGAAAGCCACGGCUAACUACGUGCCAGCCGCCGCGGUAA